RNAcentral lists this ribosomal RNA (2903 nucleotides) under Klebsiella michiganensis. Its description in RNAcentral is "23S ribosomal RNA". It matches the Rfam family "Bacterial large subunit ribosomal RNA". The record is from RNAcentral. Lineage: Bacteria; Pseudomonadati; Pseudomonadota; Gammaproteobacteria; Enterobacterales; Enterobacteriaceae.
GGUUAAGCGACUAAGCGUACACGGUGGAUGCCCUGGCAGUCAGAGGCGAUGAAGGACGUGCUAAUCUGCGAAAAGCGUCGGUAAGGUGAUAUGAACCGUUACAGCCGGCGAUGUCCGAAUGGGGAAACCCAGUGCAAUUCGUUGCACUAUCGUUAACUGAAUACAUAGGUUAACGAGGCGAACCGGGGGAACUGAAACAUCUAAGUACCCCGAGGAAAAGAAAUCAACCGAGAUUCCCCCAGUAGCGGCGAGCGAACGGGGAGCAGCCCGGAGUCUGAAUCAGCUUGUGUGUUAGUGGAAGCGUCUGGAAAGUCGCAGGGUACAGGGUGAUACUCCCGUACACUAAAACACACAGGUUGUGAACUCGAAGAGUAGGGCGGGACACGUGGUAUCCUGUCUGAAUAUGGGGGACCAUCCUCCAAGGCUAAAUACUCCUGACUGACCGAUAGUGAACCAGUACCGUGAGGGAAAGGCGAAAAGAACCCCGGCGAGGGGAGUGAAAAAGAACCUGAAACCGUGUACGUACAAGCAGUAGGAGCCCACUAGUUGGGUGACUGCGUACCUUUUGUAUAAUGGGUCAGCGACUUAUAUUCUGUAGCAAGGUUAACCGUAUAGGGGAGCCGCAGGGAAACCGAGUCUUAACUGGGCGUUAAGUUGCAGGGUAUAGACCCGAAACCCGGUGAUCUAGCCAUGGGCAGGUUGAAGGUUGGGUAACACUAACUGGAGGACCGAACCGACUAAUGUUGAAAAAUUAGCGGAUGACUUGUGGCUGGGGGUGAAAGGCCAAUCAAACCGGGAGAUAGCUGGUUCUCCCGAAAGCUAUUUAGGUAGCGCCUCGUGAAUUCAUCUUCGGGGGUAGAGCACUGUUUCGGCUAGGGGGUCAUCCCGACUUACCAACCCGAUGCAAACUACGAAUACCGAAGAAUGUUAUCACGGGAGACACACGGCGGGUGCUAACGUCCGUCGUGAAGAGGGAAACAACCCAGACCGCCAGCUAAGGUCCCAAAGUCAUGGUUAAGUGGGAAACGAUGUGGGAAGGCCCAGACAGCCAGGAUGUUGGCUUAGAAGCAGCCAUCAUUUAAAGAAAGCGUAAUAGCUCACUGGUCGAGUCGGCCUGCGCGGAAGAUGUAACGGGGCUAAACCAUGCACCGAAGCUGCGGCAGCGACACUAUGUGUUGUUGGGUAGGGGAGCGUUCUGUAAGCCGUUGAAGGUGGCCUGUGAGGGUUGCUGGAGGUAUCAGAAGUGCGAAUGCUGACAUAAGUAACGAUAAUGCGGGUGAAAAACCCGCACGCCGGAAGACCAAGGGUUCCUGUCCAACGUUAAUCGGGGCAGGGUGAGUCGACCCCUAAGGCGAGGCCGAAAGGCGUAGUCGAUGGGAAACAGGUUAAUAUUCCUGUACUCGGUGUUACUGCGAAGGGGGGACGGAGAAGGCUAUGUUGGCCGGGCGACGGUUGUCCCGGUUUAAGCAUGUAGGCGGAUGUUCCAGGUAAAUCCGGAACGUCACUAACGCUGAGGUGUGAUGACGAGGCACUACGGUGCUGAAGUGACAAAUGCCCUGCUUCCAGGAAAAGCCUCUAAGCAUCAGGUAACAUCAAAUCGUACCCCAAACCGACACAGGUGGUCAGGUAGAGAAUACCAAGGCGCUUGAGAGAACUCGGGUGAAGGAACUAGGCAAAAUGGUGCCGUAACUUCGGGAGAAGGCACGCUGAUGGUAGGUGAAGUGACUUGCUCAUGGAGCUGAAAUCAGUCGAAGAUACCAGCUGGCUGCAACUGUUUAUUAAAAACACAGCACUGUGCAAACACGAAAGUGGACGUAUACGGUGUGACGCCUGCCCGGUGCCGGAAGGUUAAUUGAUGGGGUUAUCCUCGCGGAGAAGCUCUUGAUCGAAGCCCCGGUAAACGGCGGCCGUAACUAUAACGGUCCUAAGGUAGCGAAAUUCCUUGUCGGGUAAGUUCCGACCUGCACGAAUGGCGUAAUGAUGGCCAGGCUGUCUCCACCCGAGACUCAGUGAAAUUGAACUCGCUGUGAAGAUGCAGUGUACCCGCGGCAAGACGGAAAGACCCCGUGAACCUUUACUAUAGCUUGACACUGAACACUGGUCCUUGAUGUGUAGGAUAGGUGGGAGGCUUUGAAGUGUGGACGCCAGUCUGCAUGGAGCCAUCCUUGAAAUACCACCCUUUAAUGGCUGGUGUUCUAACGUGGGCCCGUGAUCCGGGUUGCGGACAGUGUCUGGUGGGUAGUUUGACUGGGGCGGUCUCCUCCUAAAGAGUAACGGAGGAGCACGAAGGUCAGCUAAUCCUGGUCGGACAUCAGGAGGUUAGUGCAAUGGCAUAAGCUGGCUUGACUGCGAGCGUGACGGCGCGAGCAGGUGCGAAAGCAGGUCAUAGUGAUCCGGUGGUUCUGAAUGGAAGGGCCAUCGCUCAACGGAUAAAAGGUACUCCGGGGAUAACAGGCUGAUACCGCCCAAGAGUUCAUAUCGACGGCGGUGUUUGGCACCUCGAUGUCGGCUCAUCACAUCCUGGGGCUGAAGUAGGUCCCAAGGGUAUGGCUGUUCGCCAUUUAAAGUGGUACGCGAGCUGGGUUUAGAACGUCGUGAGACAGUUCGGUCCCUAUCUGCCGUGGGCGCUGGAGAAUUGAGGGGGCUGCUCCUAGUACGAGAGGACCGGAGUGGACGCAUCACUGGUGUUCGGGUUGUCAUGCCAAUGGCAUUGCCCGGUAGCUAAAUGCGGAAGAGAUAAGUGCUGAAAGCAUCUAAGCACGAAACUUGCCCCGAGAUGAGUUCUCCCUGACUCCUUGAGAGUCCUGAAGGAACGUUGAAGACGACGACGUUGAUAGGCCGGGUGUGUAAGCGCAGCGAUGCGUUGAGCUAACCGGUACUAAUGAACCGUGAGGCUUAACCUU